AGAGAAAUAAAAAAAAUUCUUUCAUAAUAUAUUUGCAUUUGAAGACAAUUUUCUUCGUGUUCAAAAAAAAAAAAAGAGACAAUUUUCUUUAGUGACAGAGGUUGAAACGUACAACGAUGUUCUGUGUGAUCAAAGCCCACUUUAGGUGGAGACUAAUACAUCUUUGACAUACCGUACGGAAAAGACGCCACCGAGCCCAUGAAAGUGUUUGGUUUGACAGCUGCUUGAAGAGAGAGAGAUGGUUUACGGUUUUCUUAGAGUUUGUUUUGGAAAGAUUGCUGUUCAGGAUGAGUGAUUAAUAGUACUUGAGAG
Molecule: long non-coding RNA, 312 nt
Filed under: Brassica rapa (field mustard)
Lineage: Eukaryota; Viridiplantae; Streptophyta; Magnoliopsida; Brassicales; Brassicaceae
Description: long non-coding RNA (BRAP_LNC003138)
Source: RNAcentral